RNAcentral lists this ribosomal RNA (227 nucleotides) under Paenibacillus cineris. RNAcentral describes it as "partial 16S ribosomal RNA". It matches the Rfam family "Bacterial small subunit ribosomal RNA", at positions 307 to 526 of the family's 1533-position model. The record is from RNAcentral. Lineage: Bacteria; Bacillati; Bacillota; Bacilli; Caryophanales; Paenibacillaceae.
UCCACACUGGGACUGAGACACGGCCCAGACUCCUACGGGAGGCAGCAGUAGGGAAUCUUCCGCAAUGGGCGAAAGCCUGACGGAGCAACGCCGCGUGAGUGAUGAAGGUUUUCGGAUCGUAAAGCUCUGUUGCCAGGGAAGAACGUCCGGUAGAGUAACUGCUAUCGGAGUGACGGUACCUGAGAAGAAAGCCCCGGCUAACUACGUGCCAGCAGCCGCGGUAAUAC